This 488-nucleotide ribosomal RNA is filed under the name uncultured bacterium. Its description in RNAcentral is "bacterial SSU rRNA". It matches the Rfam family "Bacterial small subunit ribosomal RNA", at positions 28 to 513 of the family's 1533-position model. The record is from RNAcentral.
GAUGAACGCUGGCGGCAUGCCUUACACAUGCAAGUCGAACGGCAGCACGGGAGCAAUCCUGGUGGCGAGUGGCGAACGGGUGAGUAAUAUAUCGGAACGUGCCCAGUCGUGGGGAUAACGUAGCGAAAGUUACGCUAAUACCGCAUACGAUCUAAGGAUGAAAGCGGGGGAUCGCAAGACCUCGCGCGAUUGGAGCGGCCGAUAUCAGAUUAGGUAGUUGGUGAGGUAAAGGCUCACCAAGCCGACGAUCUGUAGCUGGUCUGAGAGGACGACCAGCCACACUGGGACUGAGGCACGGUCCAGACUCCUACGGGAGGCAGCAGUGGGGAAUUUUGGACAAUGGACGCAAGUCUGAUCCAGCCAUUCCGCGUGCAGGAUGAAGGCCCUCGGGUUGUAAACUGCUUUUGUACGGAACGAAAGGUUUCUAUUAAUACUAGGAGCUCAUGACGGUACCGUAAGAAUAAGCACCGGCUAACUACGUGCCAGCA